CUAUUGCGAAGGAUCUCUCUCCUCCUCCCUGAGAUCCGACGUAACCUGCGCCGACCCACUCUCCUCCUCCCAGAGGCUUGGCGAGGCGCACACAUAAGACGGCGAUGUUCACCUCCUCCCGAACAUCGCCGUUUUU
Molecule: small RNA, 136 nt
Filed under: Falsihalocynthiibacter arcticus
Lineage: Bacteria; Pseudomonadati; Pseudomonadota; Alphaproteobacteria; Rhodobacterales; Roseobacteraceae
Description: Halocynthiibacter arcticus Alphaproteobacterial ar14
Rfam family: Alphaproteobacterial ar14
About the family: Smr14C2 was renamed NfeR1 (Nodule Formation Efficiency RNA) highly expressed in salt stress and during the symbiotic interaction on legume roots.
Source: Rfam by way of RNAcentral